UGAAGAGCCCCAUGGCAAGCAAAAUCAGCACUAAGACAAGAACAAGGAGGGCUAGCCGAUUUUUGUGAUCAAUUGUUUCUUCUCUCAAGUUAUUCCAAGAGUUAUGGUGUUGUGUGAAACAUUUGAGGCAUCACAUUUGGGGUGCUAGGCUCACAAGGUCUUGAAGGAAUCCAAGCUACAAGAAAGGUAUGUCAUUCUAUUUAUAUUACNUACAAGUACCCCAUGCCAUGCUAGUUAGGAUGAGAACCUUGGAAAAUGAAAUUUGCAUGAAUAUUAGAGAAAACAUAGAUCCAAGGUUUCUAGGGUUUCAUGUACACCAUAAGAGUGUUACAAUGCUUAAAACCCAUCAGUGGUAUCAGAGCCUUGACUUUUUUUCUUUGUAAUUGAUGCAAGUUGCUUGAAAAAAUCAAGAAUUCUGCAAUCUGAAUAGUGAACUCGCCGAGUCCAUGGGGGGACUCGACAAGUCCAUGUGAAAAUACAUCCUACUCGUCGAGUAGGUUCUUGCACUCGGCGAGUGGGAGCCCCUGUGUGCAGAAUUUCGAGUUUUGCUGCUGGAAAUGGACUAGAAUCAUUACCAAAAGUCAUUUCUUUAAAGAGUCAUUAAAGAACCAUAGGUUACAUAAAAUGAAGAGUUUUCAUUUUAAUAAACCAUUAAACUCAUAAGUUAUGAAUAUGAAAGGUUUUGAAUAGUUUCAAAACUUGCCCUCAAGUUUUGGAAUUUAUAAAGUCACUUUAGAAAACUUUAAUUCCAUACCAUAGAGUUUUAAAAGUUCUCCUUCAACCCUUAUACUUUAUAAUAUUAUAAGUUAAUAUAUAUAUAUAUAUAUAUAUAUAUAUANUUCAACCCUUAUACUUUAUAAUAUUAUAAGUUGUAUAUAUAUAUAUAUAUAUGUGUGUGUGUGUGUAAGAGCAAGUCAGUUUUACCGUUAGUAGGCCUCAUUCACGAAGCCGGUCUAUAAGGGGGUAUAAGGUUGUUGCCUAUAAAAUGGCAGCUUAAUGGGUGUCCACUCUCACCUACCGCUUCCUUGACUGGUGGAGGGUCGUUAGCCGAACGGGUAGGACAAGGACUAUAAUUCUCAUUAAAAGUAUAAUGAUAAAUAUAAGGUAACUAAACCUUUUUUUUAAUUCCCAUUCUUAUUUACUUUAGGAAAAUGAUUGGUGCUAACCCAUGAAAUUACAUUUUGUACCUUACCAAGUCGUUGGUGGAGCGUGUGCGGGUAACCGACACACUAACAUGGAUUAGUAAGAGUAGCAAAGGGUAACUUAAUCUUUAUCAUAGAUCGGUGGAGCGUGUGUGGGUAACCGGCACAUUGAUUAGGUGAUAAAGAUUAAGGGUACCAAGUUAAUUUGCAUGGUUAUUCACACCUUGUUUUUGAUCCUCGGCAUCCCAUUCACAAACUUGAGAGGGGGCAUGUGACAUCCCCAUUUUCACGGUCAAAAAAGACCAAUUUUGUUUAUGCUUUAUAAAAAUCAGAGUACCUCUUUUAAUAAAAAUGUUGUGGAAUUUGUUCCUUGUAAAACAUGAUAAAUACGUUAUCAAAAAAUUUCCGAAGAAAAGUAUUUUUAUUCAUUUUAAAACAUUUGGGAGGUCAUCAUCAAUACAGUAACAUAAGCUUAAACAGAACCUACAUUCAUUAUCACUAGUGAUUUAUAUCUCCUUAAUCUCUCAGUGUAAUGUGACUUCAUAUCAACACCUGUGAUAUAAAUAAACAAAGUGGGUCAGGAUUGGAAACCUGGUGAGUACAUAGGGUUUUCAACCCACAAUAAUAUAAUUAUUAUGUUAAACAUCAAGCAAUCAACCCAAUUACCCAUCCCCAUUAUCUUCUUUACUCUUAAGGAUCUACCCUAAGAUUCAACUAUUCCUCGUUCUUUCAUUCCUAAGGAGUAUCCUCAGGAAUUGGCACUAAGUCUGCAUAGUCGCCAGGGUUUAUCUCGUUUAUUGACAGUAUAGUUUUCGAGAGUCCAUUCGCAAUACCUGUUAAUGGGUUCUUAGAGUACAUUGGGUGAACAAAUCGUUCACAACACCUACAGGUUGUGAGCCUGCUAGUGUUCCACUAGACUGUCUAGAAUAGUCCGUGGUUGUCAUCCAUACUCUGCUAGAUGACGGUGUCAUCGCUUGGGUCAUCGUUUGGCUCAUCGUUUUUGGCUCAUCGCUUUGGCUCAUUACUUAGGUCAUCGCUUCGCACCAUAUUUUAUCACUCAUAUAUCCUCGCUCAUCAUUCAUCUCAUCUUUCAUCUGUGACAUCCCCAUUUUCACGGUCAGAAAAGACCGAUUUUGUUUAUGCUUUGUUUAAAAAUCAGAGUAAUAUUUUAAAUAAAAGUGUUGCGGAAUUUAUCCCAAAACAAAAUAUGAUAAAGAUUUAUCAAAAGCAUUUUCGUAGAAAUGUAUUUCAUUUAAAAAGACUCGAGAUGUCAUGUUCGAUACAGAUCAUAAGCAUAAACAAUACAACAUAGGCCUUACUACAUUAUUUUGUAUUUACAGGCCUAANAUAGGCCUUACUACAUUAUUCCGUAUUUACAGGCCUAAAAUCCAUUAAUCUCUCAUCCCAAGACAUCACAUCUAUGCUCAUGCGCCACUACCUGUAAUACAAGAAACUGAGUGGGUCAGGCUUGGGAGUCUGGUGAGCACAUAGGGUUUUCAACCCACAAUAAAUAAGUUAUUAGCUUUAUCAAACCAAACAAACCCGAUUACCCGUUCCCGUUAUCCUCACUUUACGUCCCUAAAACAUCUAACACAAGGGACCUAGUCUAAGGACUAUCAUCGGGAUGGACACUACUGCUAAGGGGAUUCCUCAGCAAUAAAUGUCCUUAAGGCAACCAUGUGGGGGAUGGAGUACAUCUGGUGAGCACACAGUUCAAAUAAACACACAGUUCAAAUAAACACCUACAGGUUGCGAGCCUGCUAGUGUUCCACUGGACUGUCUAGAAUAGUCCGUGGUCGUCAUCUAUACUCCGCUAGAUGACUGGAUCAUCAAUAACAUCUAUAACGAGGCCUCUCAUUAUUUUAUUUUGUCACACUGCAACUAUUACAUCUACCCAUGUUUUACCCAACACAUUUUGUAGAUAUAAAAUACAUAUACAGUUUAAAUCAUUGAAAACAUGUAUAAAACGUUCAUCCAACAUAGAUAGCAAGUAUUCAGAUAAUAUGCACACAUAGCACGUAAUUUAUAUAAAAUACUUCAUAUCUAUGUGUAAGAUGAAAGUAACUAUGCACUCACCUGAAAGGUGGUGAGUCGGCACUCGGACAGCACUUCGUUACUCUUAAAACAAUUAUCCCUUGACGAAACCUAGUAUCAUUACCACUAGAGUUUAGUCUAACGCUUGACGAGACUAAUUUAAUAGUCUAGCUAUUAUUACUAUUAUAUAAGCGUUAAAUAACACUCAAUAUAACUCAUAAUAAUAGCCUAAAUAAUUAUUUUAAGGUCCUAACAAUGUUACUAUAAUUAAAUAAAAUCUAUAUUAAAUAUAGUAUAGGCGUAGCUCACUUACAGCGGGUUUUUAUUAAAAACCGGGCUUCGCUGGAGCAGCGUUUCCGAGCCGAAAGCUUUUCUUCUCGGAGCCGUCGGGCGCUCCGGGGCUUUCUUCUCGUGAUAGGGAGGUUCCCUAGACUUGGGAGGGGUUUAGGGAGGUUAGAGAGAAGUUAGAGAGAGAAAGAAAGGUUUGAAGGUGUGAGGAAAUUAUGAAGAGUUCAUCUCUUAUUUAUAGAAUUGUAUAGUAAAGUAGUCUCCAAGCUUCGUCCGUAACUUUUGCAUACGAGCUCCGUUUUUGUCUGUAUUUUUACUGUUGAGUUCCUUUUAAUGAGAUCUUCAACUCUCAUUUAGACCUCGUUGGCUAAUUCUCAUUCUAUCUUGGAUUUACAAAACUGUAUCGAAUUCGCCGCGCUCGAAAAGUAUGGACUAAGUUUCAUCCAUAUCUUUCGCAUACGAGCUCUAUUAUCGGCGUUCUUUAUAUCCACGCGUUGGUAUUUACGAGUACUAAAACUUUCGUUUAGAUCCCGUCGGCUAAUUCUCACUCUAUCUCAGAUUUACAAAACUGUAUCGAAUUCGCAACGCUCGAAGAGUAGGGACUAAGCAUCGUCCAUAUCUUUCGCAUACGAGCUCCAUUUUCGACUGUCUUUUUAUCGCUUAACUCCUAUUAACGAUAUCUUUAUUUAUCAUUUAGAUUAUUUUGGCUAAAAAUCGACCGAUCUAAAAUUUAGAUUUCGGGUUGUGCACUGCUACGCUAAAUCUUAGAAAAAUCAUAACUUCCUCAUACGAAGUCAGAUUUGGAUGUUCUUUUUAUGCACACUAUCGGUUUAACAUAUACUAAGACAUUCAUUUAGAUCGCUAAGGCUAAAUCUCGCUCUAUUAUAAAUUCACUAUUUACGCCUCUCGGUAUCGUGUCGGUUCAGUCGCGAAACUUCGACGGGUCAUAACUUCUUCGUUAUAACUCGGAUUUCGACGCUCUUUGUAUGUACGGAAACCUUGUAACAUAUACUAAAACUUGGUUGAGGUUAUUUAUUCUUAAUAAUCUUUUGUCGAAAAGUCGUUUUCGACCCUUAUUGCCUCUAAAUUGACUAGCCCGGAUAUACGGGCGUUACAUCAUCGCUCAUCAUUUAUCUCAUCUUUCAUCGCUCAUCAUUUAUCUCACCUCUAAUCUACCCAUGUUUUACCCCAACACAUUUUGUAGAUAUAAAAUACAUAUACAGUUUAGAUCAUUUAAAACAUGUAUAAAACGUUUCAUCCAGCAUAGACCGCAAGUAUUCAGACAGUAUACACACAUAGCACAUAAUUUAUAUAAAAUACUUCAUAUCUAUGUGUAAGAUGAAAGUAACUAUGCACUCACUUGGUAAAGUGGUGAUUCUGAACUCAGACAGCGCUUCGUUACUCUUAAAACAAUUUCCUUCGACAAAACCUAGUAUCAAUACCGCUAGGGUUUAGUCUAACGUUAACCGCGACUAAUUAAUAGUCUAGCUAUUAUUACUACUAUAUAAGCAUUAAACAACACUCUUAUAUAACUCAUAAUAAUAGCCAAAAUAAUUAUUUUAAGGUCCUAAUAAUGUUUCUAUAAUUAAUUAGAAGCUAUAUUAAAAGUAGCAUAGGCAUAGCUCACCUACAGUGGGUUUUUAUUAAAAAAACUGGGUUUCGCUGGAGCAGCGUUUCCGAGCCGAAAGUUUUUCUUCUCGGAGCCUUCGGGCGCUCCGGGGCUUUCUUUUCGUGCUAGGGAGGUUCCCUAGACUUGGGAGGGGUUUAAGGAGGCUAGAGAGAAAUUAGAGAGAGAAAGAAAGGUAAUGGUGUGAAGAAAUUAUGAAGGAUUCAUCCUUUAUUUAUAGGGAUUUUAUCGUAGAGUAGCCCCUAAGUUUCGUCCGAAUCUUCCGCAUACGAGCUCCAUUUUCUACGUUCUUUAUAUCCACGGAUUGGUAUUUACGAGUACUACAACUUUCAUUUAAAUCAUGUCGGCUAAUUCUCACUCUAUCUCAGAUUUACAAAACUGUAUCGAAUUUAUCGCGCUCGAAGAGUAGGGACUAAGUUUCGUCCAUAUCUUUCGCAUACGAGCUCUAUUAUCGACGUUCUUUAUAUCCACGGAUUGGUAUUUACGAGUACUACAACUUUCAUUUAAAUCAUGUCGGCUAAUUCUCACUCUAUCUCAGAUUUACAAAACUGUAUCGAAUUCGCCGCACUCGAAAAGUAGGGACUAAGCUUUGUCCAUAUCUUUCGCAUACGAGCUCCGUUUUCAACUGUCAUUUUAUCGUUAACUCCUAUUAACGAUAUCUUCAUUUCUUGUUUAGAUUAUUUUGUCUAAAAAUCGACCGAUCAAAAAUUCAAAUUUCGGGUUGUGCACUACUAUGCUAAAUCUUAGAAUAAUCAUAACUUACUCAUACGAAGUUAGAUUUGGACGUUCUUUUUAUGUACAAUUUUGGUUUAACAUAUACUACGAAUUUCGUUUAGAUUGCUAAGGCUAAAAAGUAUUUUAUCAUAAAUUCACUUUUUAUGAUUUUCAAUGUCGUGCCGGUUUAGCAGUAAAACUUCGACGGGUCAUAACUUCUUUGUUAUAACUCGGGUUUCAACGUUCUUUAUAUGUACGUAACCCUUGUGACAUACACUAUAACUUGGUCAAGAUUAUUUAUUCUAAAUUAUCUUAUAUAAAAAAAAAUGUCAUUUUUGAUGUUCAUUGUCUCUAAAUGACUACCCGAAUCUGCGGGCGUUACAGGACAAUCAAGAUUUAAACAUGUCAUUGAAAAGUUCAGUGAAUCUCAAAAGAAUCUAGGAGUUUCAAUCGAAUUAAAACCUAAUAAUUUAUUUCAUUUUUCAUGGUGGAAAUUGGUGAAUCGUCAUUCACAUACCUUCAAAUAUUUUAUAACUUGGAUUACGACAUCCUUCUUCCAAGUUGUACAGUAUUGUGUUGGGUCCUAUCCUUAAUAUUAAAUUUGGGUGUCUUAUUAAGGAUUCUAUAUCUAAUCUAAACUUGUCUUUCUUCUUUUCAGAUGUCUUCCAACAAUGUUGCUUCUAGAUCAAACCCUACCGGCUCCUUCUCUCUCAUGAACCUUUGUGGGAGAGUCAUCUUUGAUGGUUCAAACUUUAAUGAUUGGAUCAAGAACAUCAGGAUGGUCAUGCGUUACGAGGACAAGGAAUAUAUUCUCGACAAGGAGCUGAAAGAAAUUGAUGAGCCUACUGCUACUCCAGAGGAGAUCACUAACUUUAGGGCACAUGAGAGAGAUGCUACCAAGGUGGCAUGUAUCAUGUUGGCCACAAUGACAGCUGAACUCCAGAAGUCCUAUGAGGACUUUUACCCUUUUAAGAUGCACAUGGACUUGAUGGACCGCUACCAUCAGAGUGCUCAUCAAGAGAGGUAUGAAAUCAUCUCUUCCAUGAUAACAACCCAAAUGAAGGAUGGUGACUCCAUCACGGGGGAAGUGCAGAAAAUGAAAAGGUUUGUGGACCGUUUGCUGAAGUUGAAUGUGAACUUCCCCAAGGAGUUGGGUAUUGAUAUCAUACUACACUCCUUACCUACUUUUUAUGAUCAGUUCCGAAUGACCUAUCACAUGAACAAGGAGGAGGUCACACUCAGCAAGCUUCAAGGGCUUUUGAAGACCGCUGAAAUCGGUCUCAAAGGUAAAUCGGUUGUUACUGCUUCUACUCCUAACACCGCCCAUGUUCUGGCAAUCGGGCAAAGUAGAGGGAGGAAGAGGAAGACCCCUUCGAAGGGUACCAAGGGAAAGUCUCUUGAUGGCUCCUCUUCAAGUGGAACCAAAGGUGGUUCUAUCACUCCUUCUUCGAACCCAAAGGAAGCUCAAUGCUUCCAUUGUCAAGAAAAGGGGCACUGGAAAUGAAACUGCCCCAAGUACCUGCAAGAUGUUAAGGAUGGGAAAGUCAAACCUACCCAUACAUGUAUUUACACUAUAUUGUCUAAUAACUCACCGCAUGCUAAUUUUUGGGUCCUUGAUACAGGUUGUGGUAUUCAUAUAAGUUCUUAUUUGCAGGGCCUAAGAAGAAGUGAGGAUGUGGAGCACAGAAAGAUAAACUUGAUCAUGGGGAAUAGGAAAGCGUCACCUGUCACCAAGAUUGAAGUUUAUUCUUUGUUGCUAAGUAGUGGGUUAGUGUUAGAUUUGAAUAAGUGUUGUUACUCGUCUGAAAUGGCAAGAAAUAUUAUUUCUUUUCACGGUUUGUACAAACAAGGGUUUACUUUUUCAUUUGAUAAUGAAUGUGGUGGUAUUAAUGCUUUUUAUAAUAACGUUCUUUAUUUUAAAGCAUUACCUUGUGAUGGUGUAUAUGAAACUGUGUCGGUUGUAGAUAACUUAGGAAAUAAUGUAUUUUAUAUCGAUUCUCCCCACUAGUUUGGAUAAAGCAUCUUUGUGGAAUUGUCGUCUUGGACAUGUUAACAAGAAGCGCACAGACCAAAUCUAGAAGGCUAGAGUCUUAGAGUCAUUUGACUUAAGGUCAGAUGAUAGUUUCAAGUCUUGUUUACUUGGAAAAAUGAAAAAGUCACCCUUCAUUGGUUCUUGUGCUAGGGGUGAAGGUUUGUUGGACCUCGUACACACAGAUGUGUGUGGACCCUUCAGAACCGCCACUAGGGAUGCUAAUCGCUUCUAUGUGACUUUUACUGAUGAUUACAGUAGAUAUGGUUAUGUCUACUUAAUCAAGCAUAAGUCAGAAACCUUUGAAAAGUUCAAGGAGUUUAAACAGGAAGUGGAGAAUCAGCUGGGCAGGAACAUUAAGAUGCUCUGAUCCGAUCGAGGAGGAGAGUAUUAUAGUACAGAGUUCCUUUACUAUCUUAAGGAAUGUGGAAUUGUUUCACAAUUGACACCUCCCAGAACAUCACAACUUAAUGGUGUGGCUGAGAGGCGCAAUUGAGCCUUAUUAGACAUGGUUCGUUCCAUGAUGAGUCGAGCUUUGUUACCAAUCUCAUUAUGGGGGUAUGCCUUAGAGACUGCCGCCCAUAUCCUAAAUCUAGUACUUACGAAAAAGGUUGCCAAAACACCUCACAAGAUGUGGACUGGGAAAGUUCCCAAUUUAGACCACAUCAAGAUUUGGGGUUGUGAGGUUUUCAUGAGACGUGAGACUCAAGACAAGCUCGAACCUCAUAGUGAGCGCUGUAUUUUCAUCGGCUACCCAUAGAAAUCCUUUGGUUACCUCUUCUACAGACCCAGUGAGAAUGCGGUCUUUGUGCAAGGAGAGGGGUCUUUCGCGAGAGAGAGUUUAUAAGUCAACGAAAUAGUGGGAGGAAAAUUGAUCUUGAAGAACUUCAAGAGUCAAGCGGUGAAGGAACCUCAAACCCUAGCAAUCAACAUGAGGAGGAAACUUAUGUUGAUGAGUCCGUACCUCUGAGGCGUUCUGCAAGAGUUAGGAAUACACCUGAGCAUUACUAUGGUUCUCAUAUCACUGCGGAAGGUGAUGCAUUUAUCAGUGAUAGUACACUGGUAAAUUUGGAUGAGCCUAACAACUUUAAGGAAGCCAUGGCAGGCCCUGAGUCCACCAAAUUGAAAGAGGCCAUGGACAACGAGAUUCAGUCUAUGUAUGACAAUCAAGUUUGGGACUUGGUUGACAAUGUACCAGGUCGUAAGACGGUCGGGUGCAAAUGGAUCUUCAAGAAGAAAACCGACAUGGAUGGGAAUGUACACACUUAUAAAGCGCGAUUGGUUGCGAAGGGCUUUACUCAAACUCUGAGAGUUGACUAUGAUGAGACCUUCUGAUCAGUAGCAAAGAUUAAGUCUAUUAGGGUAUUGCUAGCCACAACUGCAUUUCAUGAUUAUGAAAUAUGGAAAAUGGAUGUCAAAAACAUUUUCCUUAAUGGAAAGUUAACUGAGGAUGUUUACAUGAGUUGGCCAGAGGGUUUUGUCGAUGCAAAGCAUCCUAAUAAAGUUUGUAAGCUUGAAAAAUCCAUCUAUGGAUUGAAACAAGCAUCUCGCAAACGGAAUCUUUAUUUCGAUGAGAAAGUCAAAGAGUUUGGUUUUUCGAGGAGUGAAGAUGAGUCAUGUGUAUAUGUUAAGGCUAGUGGGAGUAUAGUUAGUUUUUUGGUAUUGUAUGUGGAUGACAUAAUACUCAUAGGAAAUGACUUCCCAACCUUGUAGGAGGUUAAAUCCUGGCUUGGGAAGUGUUUUGCUAUGAAGGAACUUGGAGAAGUUGCCUAUAUCCUAGGGAUAAGGAUACUGAGAGACAGGAGUAAGAGACUAAUUGGACUUAGUCAAAGUACCUACUUGGAUAAGGUGCUGAAAAGGUUCAGCAUGCAGGAUUCCAAGAAAGGAGACUUACCAAUCCAGAGUAACGCCAAACUGAGUAAGACUCAUAGCCCGAGUAUAGAGGCUAAGAUAGCUGAGAUGAGUCGAGUACCAUAUGCUUUCGUUGUAGGCUCGAUCAUGUAUGAUAUGAAUUGUACUCGUCCUUAUGUGGCCUUUGCUUUGAGCAUGGUCAACAGAUAUCAAGGGAAUUCGGGCAAGGCUCACUGAACUAGGGACUGGGUCCUUACCCUUGGUGGGAGUGAUGACUUGGGAGUUGUGGGGUAUAGUGAUGCUAGCUUCCUGACUGAUAGGGAUAAUUUCCGCUCUCAGUCGGGCUGGGUCUUUACCCUAAACGGAGGAGCGAUUACUUGGAAACGUUCUAAGCAGGAAACAGUAGUUGAUUUAACUUGUGAAUCAUAGCACAUAGUAGCAAGCGAGGUAGCAAAUGAGGCUAUAUGGCUAAAGAACUUCAUUGGAGACCUUGGAGUUGUACCAGCUAUUAAGGAGCCUAUGGAGAUUUUCUGUGAUAAUGAGGGUGCAGUUGCCUUAGCUAAGGAACCAAGGGAUCAAGACAGAUCCAGGCACAUCGACAAAAAAUACCACUUCAUUAGACAUCGGAUAGAAGAAGGACUCCUCGUGGUAAAGAGGGUAUCAUCGCACGAGAACCCAACAGAUCCCUUCAUGAAGGGACUGUGUGGGGUUAAGCAUUUGCAGCAUGCGAGGUGCAUCAGGCUAAAGGAUGAUAUUAUUUUUACAGAUUAGAUAGCUAUUUAUGAAACUUGUAAAAUGUAAUUGAUAUUUGAUGAUUAAAUAAAAUUUGUUGUUUAUUUAUAAGUAAAGUGUUGCUAUCUUGUGUCAAUUGUUUACUAUUGGUUCAAUUUUGCAUGUUUUGACUUCCAGAAUAAUAAAUUUAUUCAAACUCUCCACAGUCAGUCAUAUGUUAGAAGUAGAUAUGAAUCAAGAUUGUUAUGAAUUGGGCUUGUAGAUGUCUAAGGUGUUAGACAGCGAAAAUUGCUACAACAUUCAUGAGUGCUCAUAAGUUCUGAGUAUUGGAUUCAACCCACACUCACUUGCAUCACUUCAUGGAAUUUAUCUCAAGUGAUCAUGAGAUGGUAAUAUCAUAUAAGUCUCAAACCUAGAGAUAUGAGUCGUUGAUUAUGAGUUGGUUGUGCAGUGAUUGUACGAAAACGCAUUGGUAACUCGAUGUUAUAAAACAUGCUUUUGUGUAUGAUUCAACAAGUAGUUAGUACAAGCAUAUGAGUCGAAGUUUAUCUGUUCCUUCUGGUCCUUGGAGGAUUAGAAGCGAUAACUGGGCCCUUCGAUGAUUUUGUUUUGAACUAUGUACCGGGCCCGAUCAGAACCAAAUUGAUGUGUUCAGUUUAGUUCUAUGUCAAACAAAUUAGAAAUCGGGAAACAAACUGUUGGAUAAUAAGUACGACAUUGUUCUAUGUAUUUGUCCAGCUGAUAUCUAUAAUAGAGGAUUAUGUGAUCACUUAUCUUAAAUGACGCAUCAUCAUCUUAGUUCCGUGAGACUUUGAAAGAGCUACGAUUGUUGGUCGGUUCUUGAAGUCAUACCUAUAACUAUAGUUAUUAGACUUAUCCAAGUGGGAGACUGUUGGAUAAGGUGUCUAAGUCCAUAACUAUAUUUAGUAUGUACUUGACCCGGUUUGGCAUGGUCCAUUUGGGUUGCAUGGCAUCAUAAUAAUUGGAUAGACAAAAUGAGAAAAGGACACUUAUGGUUUGUUAAGAUAUUAUAAGUUAUAAUAUAUUAUUUAAUUAGUAUUGAUCAAGAAUUAAUUUGAAACUAAUUGGAUAGACAAAAUGAGAAAAGGACACUUAUGGUUUGUUAAGAUAUUAUAAGUUAUAAUAUAUUAUUUAAUUAGUAUUGAUCAAGAAUUAAUUUGAAACUAAUUUUGUGAUAAAAAAGAGACUAAUUAAAUAUAUGGGGAUUGAUUUGUAAAUCAUUCAUUCUUAUGUAGUGGGCUUAUGGUUCAUGAUUCACAAGAUUGGGCUAGGACCCAUUGGGUGCUCCAUGGAUGCUCCAUGGAGGUUAAAACCCAUGGAUCAUGGAGGAAAUGAAAAGUCAUGCACAUUAGGGUUUACAUGGUGUAACCCUACAUGUAGCACACUAUAUAAAGAGCCCCAUGGCAAGCAAAAUCGGCACUAAGACAAGAACAAGGAGGGCUAGCCAAUUUUUUUUGAUCAAGUGUUUCUUCUGUCAAGUUAUUCCAAGAGUUGUGGUGUUGUGUGAAACAUUUGAGGCAUCACAUUUGGGGUGCUAGGCUCACAAGGUCGUGAAGGAAUCCAAGCUACAAGAAAGGUAUGUCAUUCUACUAGUUUUAUAUUACAAGUACCUCUUGCCAUGCUAGUUAGGAUGAGAAACUUAGAAAAUGAAAUUUGAAUGAAUAUUAG
Molecule: long non-coding RNA, 12106 nt
Filed under: Lactuca sativa (garden lettuce)
Lineage: Eukaryota; Viridiplantae; Streptophyta; Magnoliopsida; Asterales; Asteraceae
Description: long non-coding RNA (LSAT_LNC006169)
Source: RNAcentral